Molecule: long non-coding RNA, 1234 nt
Filed under: Bos indicus x Bos taurus (hybrid cattle)
Lineage: Eukaryota; Metazoa; Chordata; Mammalia; Artiodactyla; Bovidae
Description: lncRNA (ENSBIXG00005004602.1)
Source: RNAcentral
ACCGGAGGGAGAGCCCGACCUCCCAGACCCCAAGGUAGACGGGCGACGCCCCCCGCCCCCACCCAGGGGUCUUGAAACCUCCGCGCCAGGACGCGCUAGGUACCUGGAAAGGGGGAGGUGGGCGAGGCGGGGCGUGGUGCCCCACGGGCCCGCGGCCCAGACCCUGACCACCGCCUCCGCCCGCGGGCCUCGGGCGCUACCAGCCCGUGACGCGGGGCCUGCCCGGCCCUGGCCAACAGCCGCCUGGAGUCCCUACAGCCGCCGCCACCAGCCCCGACGACCCCCCCCCACCCCCAUUUCAACCCCGAAAAGGAGCAGAACCCCACCGCGCGCCCAGACGGCACCCUCCUCUUCCCCCACAGCCGUGGCCCGUCCCCGCACCCACGUCCCAGGCACCCUUUCCCCUGCCACCGAGGGCAGAGGGACGCUCCGACGGGAAGCGUGGCGCAGUCGGGCAGGAGCACGACAGAGGAAGGGCGCGAGAGAGCCGGCCGGCCGGUCGGAGGGCACUCCCCAGGCUCGGAGGGCGGGGAGAGGCGCCUGGCGACCUGGCGGAGAGCAGAGCAAAGGACAAGCGACGACCGGCCGGGAAGACUGGUCCAGGGCCGGCGGCGACCGGCAGGCGAGCGGCCCCGCCGCGCAGCCUGCGAGAUGCACCGGACGCUCCGGACUGUGCCGUCACGACCGGGGACAGUCCUGGCCACCGCCAGAGGCGAAGGUGUGUAGCCGGGGGAACCUCGGCCCCCCAGCCUCGAGGGACUUUCUGCUUUCAGGUGACUCAAGGCUACAGGCUGCUUCCAUCUUGUAGCACCACUAUUCCAACAUGCGGGUCUCCAUGUUUGCUGCUGAAUGGCAGAGGAAGCAUGGAAAGGGCAUACUGGCUCCUACCUAACUACCAGUGGAGCACCCAGAAGCAUACUGAGAAUUUUCUCCUUCCUUGUGAUACGUGGCCAGAAUCUUUUAUGAGCCUCUGCUACGUUCUACAUGACUGAACAUUCCUGUACAGGCUUGAUUUUGGGAGAACACAACAGGCCAAGUUUGAUUGUCAUCUUUGCAGCUACAAGUAAGGCAUGAAAUCUGUAAAUGAGAAUUGACAUCUUUACAAUGAUGUAUAUCCCAUCAGUAAGUAUGAUAUACUGCCCCAUUUAUCUGAGACUUACUUUACCUGAAUUUAUCAGUAAACUUUUAUAGUUGCCUCAAUAAAGAUCUAAAGUGUUUUUGUGAUGAUUCUUUU